Molecule: long non-coding RNA, 337 nt
Organism: Ostrinia furnacalis (Asian corn borer)
Lineage: Eukaryota; Metazoa; Arthropoda; Insecta; Lepidoptera; Crambidae
Exons: 2
Source: RefSeq, a predicted model, not a curated record
UAUAUUUGCAUAUUUUAAUACAUAUUUUGUCUUUAUAACUAAAUUAAUCUGUUAUUCGUAUUAAAUUAUUCACUUCUUCUUGGCGAAACCUGGGUAGCUGACGUAUGACACUGGGACGGAGGAGUACGAGACCGAGUGAACCGGGGCAGCAGCGUAUGCGUAGGCAGGAGCACCGUACUCCACAGCGGGGGCGGAGUAAGAAGAGUACGAAACAGCGGGGGCGGAGUACGACACAGCUGGGGCGGAGUACGAGACAGCUGGGGCAGAGUACGAAACAGCAGGGGCUGAGUAAGACACAGCGGCGGGGGCUGAGUAAGACACAGCGGGAGCUGAGUAC